Molecule: ribosomal RNA, 826 nt
Filed under: Cellulosimicrobium funkei
Lineage: Bacteria; Bacillati; Actinomycetota; Actinomycetes; Micrococcales; Promicromonosporaceae
Description: bacterial SSU rRNA
Rfam family: Bacterial small subunit ribosomal RNA
Source: RNAcentral
UCAGGACGAACGCUGGCGGCGUGCUUAACACAUGCAAGUCGAACGAUGAUGCCCAGCUUGCUGGGUGGAUUAGUGGCGAACGGGUGAGUAACACGUGAGUAACCUGCCCUUGACUUCGGGAUAACUCCGGGAAACCGGGGCUAAUACCGGAUAUGAGCCGUCCUCGCAUGGGGGUGGUUGGAAAGUUUUUCGGUCAGGGAUGGGCUCGCGGCCUAUCAGCUUGUUGGUGGGGUGAUGGCCUACCAAGGCGACGACGGGUAGCCGGCCUGAGAGGGCGACCGGCCACACUGGGACUGAGACACGGCCCAGACUCCUACGGGAGGCAGCAGUGGGGAAUAUUGCACAAUGGGCGAAAGCCUGAUGCAGCGACGCCGCGUGAGGGAUGAAGGCCUUCGGGUUGUAAACCUCUUUCAGCAGGGAAGAAGCGCAAGUGACGGUACCUGCAGAAGAAGCGCCGGCUAACUACGUGCCAGCAGCCGCGGUAAUACGUAGGGCGCAAGCGUUGUCCGGAAUUAUUGGGCGUAAAGAGCUCGUAGGCGGUUUGUCGCGUCUGGUGUGAAAACUCGAGGCUCAACCUCGAGCUUGCAUCGGGUACGGGCAGACUAGAGUGCGGUAGGGGAGACUGGAAUUCCUGGUGUAGCGGUGGAAUGCGCAGAUAUCAGGAGGAACACCGAUGGCGAAGGCAGGUCUCUGGGCCGCAACUGACGCUGAGGAGCGAAAGCAUGGGGAGCGAACAGGAUUAGAUACCCUGGUAGUCCAUGCCGUAAACGUUGGGCACUAGGUGUGGGGCUCAUUCCACGAGUUCCGUGCCGCAGCAAACGCAUUA